This 76-nucleotide transfer RNA is filed under the name Candidatus Cloacimonadota bacterium. RNAcentral describes it as "tRNA-Phe". It matches the Rfam family "tRNA". From Rfam's summary of the family: Transfer RNA (tRNA) molecules are approximately 80 nucleotides in length. Their secondary structure includes four short double-helical elements and three loops (D, anti-codon, and T loops). Further hydrogen bonds mediate the characteristic L-shaped molecular structure. tRNAs have two regions of fundamental functional importance: the anti-codon, which is responsible for specific mRNA codon recognition, and the 3' end, to which the tRNAs corresponding amino acid is attached (by aminoacyl-tRNA synthetases). tRNAs cope with the degeneracy of the genetic code in two manners: having more than one tRNA (with a specific anti-codon) for a particular amino acid; and 'wobble' base-pairing, i.e. permitting non-standard base-pairing at the 3rd anti-codon position. The record is from RNAcentral. Lineage: Bacteria; Pseudomonadati; Candidatus Cloacimonadota.
GGAAGUCUGGCCGAGUUGGUCAAGGCAUCGGUCUGAAAAACCGACAAUCUCAGUUCGAUUCUGAGGGCUUCCACCA